CCAAGGCAAACUUUUUCCUUGCGAAAUAAUGGUCAGCGGUAUUAUUUCGCACGGAGGCUCGCGAAAUUUUGACAGAAAUUCAAUAUUUCGAAUUUGAAUGAUCGAACACCAACAACAUAAUAUGGUAAUCACCCAGCAAGAGAACGCAGUGAUAAUGGGCCAACAGAAACCACAACAUCAAGAUGCUCGGAAAGGACUUUCUCUUUCGAACAAACAAUGGCACGUCAUGUUCAAUCGGCUAACCGUUUGGAAUAAGCGCUCAUCAUCGGUUUCAUGGCAGGGAAGUGAGCAGGUAAAAGAAGGCAUCGUUUUUUCCGCAAGGUCGCUCUGGUCAAAAUUUCAGCGGAUUGCAAGGAAUAAACCACCCGAGGGACAGUACCCGUGCUGAUUCAGGACGAUUACCCAUACUUUGUACCUUGCUAUUGAAUUUUAAUACCCGAUCGAAACGAUGGCAAGCGCUGCCGAUAACUGGGUCAAAAAGACAACGGAUAAAGAAAUUUUUGCACUCGGUUAGCGAACUGAGUACAUAUCACCAAGGAUAAGGAUUCAGAUCCGGCGGCUGGCAAGAAAGAGAAUGCGGAAAAACCUAGUCCACCGGCAGUAGAAACAAAGCUGCACCUGAUGUUUGGAGUUCGGUAGCUUCGGAAAUUCUAACUCUAGCAGCUCCUGAAGAAAAACAAGCUGCAAGAGAAAAUGGAGAAACAGCUUCCUCCGCGGAAGAUGCAGAGGCAUUCAACCCGGCGGAUGCAAGUUUGCUAAUGAAGGAUGUUCGCUAAGAUCUAGUAGAAUCAAAGCUGGAUCUGAACGUGCAUCGGAAGGAUUCUUCUUCGCCGGUUGAUUGGUUAAAACUUUCGAAGCUUUGCACAUGAAGCCGGAAUUACUUCAGGGAGUCUAUGCGAUGGGUUUCAACGCCCCUUCCAAGAUUCAGGAGAUGGCUCUACCUACUCUGUUGGCCGGUCCGCCAGGGAAUAUAAUCGCCCAGUCAGUCGGGAACAGGAAAAACCGCUGCCUUCGUGCUGGCAACGCUCAGUUGAGUCCAUCAGUUAAAAAACUAUCUGCAGGUGAUUUGCCUUUCCCCCACGUAUGAGCUGGCAAUUCAGAAGGGGGAA
Molecule: long non-coding RNA, 1109 nt
Organism: Topomyia yanbarensis
Lineage: Eukaryota; Metazoa; Arthropoda; Insecta; Diptera; Culicidae
Exons: 6
Source: RefSeq, a predicted model, not a curated record